GGGUUGUGAGGUUAAGCGACUAAGCGUACACGGUGGAUGCCCUGGCAGUCAGAGGCGAUGAAGGACGUGCUAAUCUGCGAUAAGCGUCGGUAAGGUGAUAUGAACCGUUAUAACCGGCGAUUUCCGAAUGGGGAAACCCAGUGUGAUUCGUCACACUAUCAUUAACUGAAUCCAUAGGUUAAUGAGGCGAACCGGGGGAACUGAAACAUCUAAGUACCCCGAGGAAAAGAAAUCAACCGAGAUUCCCCCAGUAGCGGCGAGCGAACGGGGAGGAGCCCAGAGCCUGAAUCAGUGUGUGUGUUAGUGGAAGCGUCUGGAAAGGCGCGCGAUACAGGGUGACAGCCCCGUACACAAAAAUGCACAUGCUGUGAGCUCGAUGAGUAGGGCGGGACACGUGGUAUCCUGUCUGAAUAUGGGGGGACCAUCCUCCAAGGCUAAAUACUCCUGACUGACCGAUAGUGAACCAGUACCGUGAGGGAAAGGCGAAAAGAACCCCGGCGAGGGGAGUGAAAAAGAACCUGAAACCGUGUACGUACAAGCAGUGGGAGCACGCUUAGGCGUGUGACUGCGUACCUUUUGUAUAAUGGGUCAGCGACUUAUAUUCUGUAGCAAGGUUAACCGAAUAGGGGAGCCGAAGGGAAACCGAGUCUUAACUGGGCGUUAAGUUGCAGGGUAUAGACCCGAAACCCGGUGAUCUAGCCAUGGGCAGGUUGAAGGUUGGGUAACACUAACUGGAGGACCGAACCGACUAAUGUUGAAAAAUUAGCGGAUGACUUGUGGCUGGGGGUGAAAGGCCAAUCAAACCGGGAGAUAGCUGGUUCUCCCCGAAAGCUAUUUAGGUAGCGCCUCGUGAAUUCAUCUCCGGGGGUAGAGCACUGUUUCGGCAAGGGGGUCAUCCCGACUUACCAACCCGAUGCAAACUGCGAAUACCGGAGAAUGUUAUCACGGGAGACACACGGCGGGUGCUAACGUCCGUCGUGAAGAGGGAAACAACCCAGACCGCCAGCUAAGGUCCCAAAGUCAUGGUUAAGUGGGAAACGAUGUGGGAAGGCCCAGACAGCCAGGAUGUUGGCUUAGAAGCAGCCAUCAUUUAAAGAAAGCGUAAUAGCUCACUGGUCGAGUCGGCCUGCGCGGAAGAUGUAACGGGGCUAAACCAUGCACCGAAGCUGCGGCAGCGACGCUUAUGCGUUGUUGGGUAGGGGAGCGUUCUGUAAGCCUGUGAAGGUGUACUGUGAGGUAUGCUGGAGGUAUCAGAAGUGCGAAUGCUGACAUAAGUAACGAUAAAGCGGGUGAAAAGCCCGCUCGCCGGAAGACCAAGGGUUCCUGUCCAACGUUAAUCGGGGCAGGGUGAGUCGACCCCUAAGGCGAGGCCGAAAGGCGUAGUCGAUGGGAAACAGGUUAAUAUUCCUGUACUUGGUGUUACUGCGAAGGGGGGACGGAGAAGGCUAUGUUGGCCGGGCGACGGUUGUCCCGGUUUAAGCGUGUAGGCUGGUUUUCCAGGCAAAUCCGGAAAAUCAAGGCUGAGGCGUGAUGACGAGGCACUACGGUGCUGAAGCAACAAAUGCCCUGCUUCCAGGAAAAGCCUCUAAGCAUCAGGUAACAUCAAAUCGUACCCCAAACCGACACAGGUGGUCAGGUAGAGAAUACCAAGGCGCUUGAGAGAACUCGGGUGAAGGAACUAGGCAAAAUGGUGCCGUAACUUCGGGAGAAGGCACGCUGAUAUGUAGGUGAAGUCCCUCGCGGAUGGAGCUGAAAUCAGUCGAAGAUACCAGCUGGCUGCAACUGUUUAUUAAAAACACAGCACUGUGCAAACACGAAAGUGGACGUAUACGGUGUGACGCCUGCCCGGUGCCGGAAGGUUAAUUGAUGGGGUCAGCGCAAGCGAAGCUCUUGAUCGAAGCCCCGGUAAACGGCGGCCGUAACUAUAACGGUCCUAAGGUAGCGAAAUUCCUUGUCGGGUAAGUUCCGACCUGCACGAAUGGCGUAAUGAUGGCCAGGCUGUCUCCACCCGAGACUCAGUGAAAUUGAACUCGCUGUGAAGAUGCAGUGUACCCGCGGCAAGACGGAAAGACCCCGUGAACCUUUACUAUAGCUUGACACUGAACAUUGAGCCUUGAUGUGUAGGAUAGGUGGGAGGCUUUGAAGUGUGGACGCCAGUCUGCAUGGAGCCGACCUUGAAAUACCACCCUUUAAUGUUUGAUGUUCUAACGUUGACCCGUAAUCCGGGUUGCGGACAGUGUCUGGUGGGUAGUUUGACUGGGGCGGUCUCCUCCUAAAGAGUAACGGAGGAGCACGAAGGUUGGCUAAUCCUGGUCGGACAUCAGGAGGUUAGUGCAAUGGCAUAAGCCAGCUUGACUGCGAGCGUGACGGCGCGAGCAGGUGCGAAAGCAGGUCAUAGUGAUCCGGUGGUUCUGAAUGGAAGGGCCAUCGCUCAACGGAUAAAAGGUACUCCGGGGAUAACAGGCUGAUACCGCCCAAGAGUUCAUAUCGACGGCGGUGUUUGGCACCUCGAUGUCGGCUCAUCACAUCCUGGGGCUGAAGUAGGUCCCAAGGGUAUGGCUGUUCGCCAUUUAAAGUGGUACGCGAGCUGGGUUUAGAACGUCGUGAGACAGUUCGGUCCCUAUCUGCCGUGGGCGCUGGAGAAUUGAGGGGGGCUGCUCCUAGUACGAGAGGACCGGAGUGGACGCAUCACUGGUGUUCGGGUUGUCAUGCCAAUGGCACUGCCCGGUAGCUAAAUGCGGAAGAGAUAAGUGCUGAAAGCAUCUAAGCACGAAACUUGCCCCGAGAUGAGUUCUCCCUGACUCCUUGAGAGUCCUGAAGGAACGUUGAAGACGACGACGUUGAUAGGCCGGGUGUGUAAGCGCAGCGAUGCGUUGAGCUAACCGGUACUAAUGAACCGUGAGGCUUAACCUUACAACGCCGAAG
This 2925-nucleotide ribosomal RNA is filed under the name Escherichia coli. RNAcentral describes it as "23S ribosomal RNA". It matches the Rfam family "Bacterial large subunit ribosomal RNA". The record is from RNAcentral. Lineage: Bacteria; Pseudomonadati; Pseudomonadota; Gammaproteobacteria; Enterobacterales; Enterobacteriaceae.